This 701-nucleotide ribosomal RNA is filed under the name Bacillus subtilis. Its description in RNAcentral is "bacterial SSU rRNA". It matches the Rfam family "Bacterial small subunit ribosomal RNA", at positions 71 to 748 of the family's 1533-position model. The record is from RNAcentral. Lineage: Bacteria; Bacillati; Bacillota; Bacilli; Caryophanales; Bacillaceae.
UGGGGACGUCUUCGCUCCCCUGGAUAGUUAGCGGCGGACGGGUCGAUGUAACACGUGGGUAACCUGCCUGUAAGACUGGGAUAACUCCGGGAAACCGGGGCUAAUACCGGAUGGUUGUUUGAACCGCAUGGUUCAAACAUAAAAGGUGGCUUCGGCUACCACUUACAGAUGGACCCGCGGCGCAUUAGCUAGUUGGUGAGGUAACGGCUCACCAAGGCAACGAUGCGUAGCCGACCUGAGAGGGUGAUCGGCCACACUGGGACUGAGACACGGCCCAGACUCCUACGGGAGGCAGCAGUAGGGAAUCUUCCGCAAUGGACGAAAGUCUGACGGAGCAACGCCGCGUGAGUGAUGAAGGUUUUCGGAUCGUAAAGCUCUGUUGUUAGGGAAGAACAAGUACCGUUCGAAUAGGGCGGUACCUUGACGGUACCUAACCAGAAAGCCACGGCUAACUACGUGCCAGCAGCCGCGGUAAUACGUAGGUGGCAAGCGUUGUCCGGAAUUAUUGGGCGUAAAGGGCUCGCAGGCGGUUUCUUAAGUCUGAUGUGAAAGCCCCCGGCUCAACCGGGGAGGGUCAUUGGAAACUGGGGGAACUUGAGUGCAGAAGAGGAGAGUGGAAUUCCACGUGUAGCGGUGAAAUGCGUAGAGAUGUGGAGGAACACCAGUGGCGAAGGCGACUCUCUGGUCUGUAACUGACGCUG